AUGGCUGAGAACUCCACCUCCUCUGCCACCUCUCCGGCCACUAGCUCAGCCACCUCGCCGGCAGCUCUCUCCAGCUCUUCCACCAGCGCCGGCACCACCGCCGGCACAUCCCCUCCUCUCAUCUUCGGCACCAUCCCCUCCACCCACAGCGGAUCCUCCCCCUUGCUCGGAUCACAGUUUGCCCCUCUCUUUUCCCCCUCCACGGCGCCGCCGCCCUCCUUCGCCGCCGCCCCGUCCAACCAUCCCAUCUUCCACGACAGCAUCCAGAACCAUAUCAAAUUUCUCCUUAACCCAGACGAGCACAACUACCACAAAUGGAAGUCCUUCUUCCUCCUUGUUCUCAUCCGCUAUGGCGUCGCUCAGAUCAUCGAGCAGCCCAUCCCGGCCAAUGCCACCGCUUUCCAGCGUGAGCUCGACGCCCAUCUUGUGCUCUGGAUAUACUCCACUCUCGCCGAUAACCUCGUCGACCACGUCGUCGGCGCUACCACCACCUAUGAUCUCUGGCAUCGCAUCCGCGAUUAUUUCCUGGCGAAUCGUGCGGCGCGGUAUAUGAUGCUGAACCGCCAAUACCGCAACCUCAAAUAGGGGGAUCUCUCCGUCGCCGAGUACGCUCGUCGCAUGAAGCUCCUCACCGCCGGGCUGGCCGACAUCGAGCACGCCGUCACUGAAGUGGAUCUCACCAUUCAGUUUCUUCACGGCAUCGACAAACGCCUCGACACCAUCCGCGUCGUGCUCGGAGACACGGUUCCUCUACCACCGUUCGAGACAGUCUUCUCUCGCCUGAAGCUCGCCGAGGAGAACCUCGCCCAGCGCGUGGCCGACGAGCCGGCCACCAUCCUCGCCGUCACUGGGGGCGGCGGCCCCUCCGGGUCAGGCGGCCCCGCUCCUCGCUCCGGUGACCGCACCGAUCGCGCCAUUGAUCGGGGUCCCAGCUCCCCGGCUGGCCGUGCCUCCGGCACCCGUGAUGGUGGUGACCGCGGUGGCCGUGGUCGUGGUCGUGGCCGCGGCCGUGGUCGCGGCGCUCCUGCACCCAUGGCGUACAACCCCUACAUGGGGUUCUUCGCGCCCUACGGGAUGGCCAUCCCGAACCCAUGCCCUGGCUGGGUCCCUCCGAACGCCGCCGGCGUGCUCGGCCUACGGCCCGGGUCGCAUGCCCAGGCCUACCCGAUGCAGAUCUCCAGCUACCCACCCACGACGCCAACCCAGCCACCUUCCUAG
RNAcentral lists this ribosomal RNA (1218 nucleotides) under Triticum aestivum (bread wheat). RNAcentral describes it as "partial small subunit ribosomal RNA". The record is from RNAcentral. Lineage: Eukaryota; Viridiplantae; Streptophyta; Magnoliopsida; Poales; Poaceae.